This 490-nucleotide ribosomal RNA is filed under the name marine sediment bacterium ISA-3101. RNAcentral describes it as "bacterial SSU rRNA". It matches the Rfam family "Bacterial small subunit ribosomal RNA", at positions 41 to 526 of the family's 1533-position model. The record is from RNAcentral.
GGCAGGCCUAACACAUGCAAGUCGAACGGUAACAGAGAGAAGCUUGCUUCUCUGCUGACGAGUGGCGGACGGGUGAGUAAUACUUAGGGAUCUGCCCUUGGGAGGGGGAUAACCAUUGGAAACGAUGGCUAAUACCGCAUAACGUCUACGGACCAAAGGGGGCUUUUAGCUCUCGCCUGAGGAUGAACCUAAGCGAGAUUAGCUUGUUGGUGAGGUAAUGGCUCACCAAGGCGACGAUCUCUAGCUGUUCUGAGAGGAAGAUCAGCCACACUGGGACUGAGACACGGCCCAGACUCCUACGGGAGGCAGCAGUGGGGAAUAUUGCACAAUGGGGGAAACCCUGAUGCAGCCAUGCCGCGUGUGUGAAGAAGGCCUUCGGGUUGUAAAGCACUUUCAGUUGUGAGGAAAGGUUGAUGGUUAAUACCCAUCAGCUGUGACGUAGCAACAGAAGAAGCACCGGCUAACUCCGUGCCAGCAGCCGCGGUAAUAC